This 850-nucleotide ribosomal RNA is filed under the name Frankliniella occidentalis (western flower thrips). RNAcentral's name for it is "partial 28S ribosomal RNA". Lineage: Eukaryota; Metazoa; Arthropoda; Insecta; Thysanoptera; Thripidae. The record is from RNAcentral.
AGACUCCGUGGUCCGUGUUUCAAGACGGGUCGGACGAUAUCGAAAGCAGAAGCGCCGCUGACCGGGUGCAGGCCUGUCCGAGUGUAGGCCGAAACGGCCAUCGAACGCAUCCUCUGUGCGGCCUCUUCCCAAGCUUUGAUACCGUCGGGCGCCGAUCAGGUCAACCCGGGUCUUGCAAACAGCAACGCGGCACAAGGCCACCUCCGGCGCGGGCUCCACCAGGGGCCAGUGAACGGAACAUCCCAACGGGUCGCGACGUCCUACUAGGCGAGAAGUGCAGCCCACCGCACCAGACAGAUACCCCCAUGACGAGUGACGCCGUAUGACCCGAACCGAAGCCCGAGCUGACGACGCCAUCUGAACCCCGAGGGCCACCGGCACGGUAAAGCUUGAAUCUCACCAUUCGGACUUUUCGAACUCGUCCGUUUACACCACUUCAGUUUCACCUACUCUGAACUCUCUCUCCAAAGUCCUUUUCAACUUUCCCUCACGGGUACUUGUGUGCGAUCCGGUCCGUGGUCAUAUUUAGCCCUAGAUGGAGUUUACAACCACUUAAGUCUGCACUCUAAGCAAACGACUUUAAGGAGAGACCCACACGACAACCGCUCCUGCUCUACGGGCCUGUCACCCUCUGUGUGGCCCCAUUCAAGUUGGACUUGAACCAGUGAGCGAGUCGCCGUGUUGACGGGCCCUCCCAAACGCUACAUUUCCCGCCGAGCGAGGCCCGGGGGAUUCAGCGCUGGGCUCUUCCCUGUUCGCUCGCUGCUACUAGGGGAAUCCUUGUUAGUUUCUUUUCCUCGGCUUAGUAAUAUGCUUAAUUCAGCCGGUAAUCUCACCUGAACUGAGGUCG